GACAGACAGCACACUGGAGGUUAAGUCAUGCACUAAAUAGGGAGCAAGGGAGCAUCCUAUAACUCUCCUAUAACUGUUCUGAGACCAGUGCAGACAGACAGCACACUGGAGGUUAAGUCAUGCACUAAAUAGGGAGCAAGGGAGCAUCCUAUAGCUCUCCUAUAACUGUUCUGAGACCAGUGCAGACAGACAGCACACUGGAGGUUAAGUCAUGCACUAAAUAGGGAGCAAGGGAGCAUCCUAUAACUCUCCUAUAACUGUUCUGAGACCAGUGCAGACAGACAGCACACUGGAGGUUAAGUCAUGCACUAAAUAGGGAGCAAGGGAGCAUCCUAUAGCUCUCCUAUAACUGUUCUGAGACCAGUGCAGACAGACAGCACACUGGAGGUUAAGUCAUGCACUAAAUAGGGAGCAAGGGAGCAUCCUAUAUCUCUCUAUAACUGUUCUGAGACCAGUGCAGACAGACAGCACACUGGAGGUUAAGUCAUGCACUAAAUAGGGAGCAAGGGAGCAUCCUAUAUCUCUCUAUAACUGUUCUGAGACCAGUGCAGACAGACAGCACACUGGAGGUUAAGUCAUGCACUAAAUAGGGAGCAAGGGAGCAUCCUAUAGCUCUCUAUAACUGUUCUGAGACCAGUGCAGACAGACAGCACACUGGAGGUUAAGUCAUGCACUAAAUAGGGAGCAAUAUCCUGGAUGUAUAAUGAACAAUUUGAUGUAAAAAAAAUAAAUAAAAAAUCAGGCUUUCUAUAGUUCAGUAUUACCUAAAAUUUCACAACUUAGUCCUGCUGUGCACAUAUGUAAACAUUGAUUUUUAGGAAAAUUAUUUGCCCUAGA
Molecule: long non-coding RNA, 837 nt
Organism: Xyrauchen texanus (razorback sucker)
Lineage: Eukaryota; Metazoa; Chordata; Actinopteri; Cypriniformes; Catostomidae
Exons: 3
Source: RefSeq, a predicted model, not a curated record